RNAcentral lists this ribosomal RNA (464 nucleotides) under uncultured bacterium. RNAcentral's name for it is "partial 16S ribosomal RNA". It matches the Rfam family "Bacterial small subunit ribosomal RNA", at positions 339 to 795 of the family's 1533-position model. The record is from RNAcentral.
CUACGGGGCGCAGCAGUGGGGAAUAUUGCACAAUGGGCGCAAGCCUGAUGCAGCCAUGCCGCGUGUAUGAAGAAGGCCUUCGGGUUGUAAAGUACUUUCAGCGGGGAGGAAGGGAGUAAAGUUAAUACCUUUGCUCAUUGACGUUACCCGCAGAAGAAGCACCGGCUAACUCCGUGCCAGCAGCCGCGGUAAUACGGAGGGUGCAAGCGUUAAUCGGAAUUACUGGGCGUAAAGCGCACGCAGGCGGUUUGUUAAGUCAGAUGUGAAAUCCCCGGGCUCAACCUGGGAACUGCAUCUGAUACUGGCGAGCUUGAGUCUCGUAGAGGGGGGUAGAAUUCCAGGUGUAGCGGUGAAAUGCGUAGAGAUCUGGAGGAAUACCGGUGGCGAAGGCGGCCCCCUGGACGAAGACUGACGCUCAGGUGCGAAAGCGUGGGGAGCAGACAGGAUUAGAUACCCGGGUAGUC